CAAAACUCCUUAAAGACUUCCAGAGCCCAGACUGCUGUUUUUUUCCACAGCUGUGUGCAGCAUUGUUAAAGCAAACCAACCAGAAGGCAUCUGUGGAGCACUGAAUUUGUGCUUUGGGAAUGCACUGGGGGAAGUGAGCUGUGCCAUCCCUCGUUCCCAGGGGUAGAUUCCUUUCCCAGGCUCAGCUGUGGAGAUGUAGUCAUGUUCUGAAGCUUUCUUGACAGAGCUGCUGGAAGAAAGAAGGAAUUUUAUCCUGGUGUGUUUCUCUGUGAACCUUUCUUUGCUGGAAAUUGCUUUGAAACCCUCUGAGGUUGCUUGUGAAGAAUACCAAAUCCCAUCUUUGUGCUGAUAAAGAAACUCUCUUCCCUGAAGCCUUCUGACCAGCUGGGAAACUUCACUGCAAUCUCCUAACCACUGACAGCAGCCAGGCUUUCUUCCUUCUUACCACGUGGGGAAGUUAAAUCCUGCCCACACUGACCUGCAGGUAAUAUCAACAGCAGCACAGAGGCCCUCCAAGCACCCCUUUUCCAAUGGGAUGCUUUUCCUGUGAGACCACCUCUUUCCAGCCUUUGCCAGCCACAGAAGAGCAGCAGCUCUGGCAUCUCAGGCUGCACAACUGGCACUGCUCAGCCAAAUCUGCGUGGAUGGUCCCAGACAACUCAAAGCUGUUUGGUGUGGUAGGUGGGCUCACCUCCUCCUUGGCUUCAGCUGCUGUAUAUUCUGAAGCAUGUCUUAUGAGGCCUUUUUGUGUGAGAAACUUAAGAUGUACACCUAUGGAUUGGCCUUGUAAUCUCCUUAUCGUGACCAUCUCCUUAUAGGGCCUCUGCCACUGUAGUUUGGCUGCUGGUUGAGAAAUAAAGUUCUUCCAGUUAUUCCAUAAAGAAAUGGCUCGAGUCCAUCAAACUCCCAUGACAGUUUCUCUUCCUAUGCUGCAAAGCAAAAUGAAAGCUUCAGCGUGUGGUGAGCAAGGGAAUGCAGAGUCCUGGUGUGUCCAUGAACUGAGCGUGUGCCCACAUCACAGUGCUCCUACUGCUAGAAAAUGAGAUCGGUGUUUUCUGCUCUUGGAAGCCCACAGUCCCACCACGUCAAACCUGUUUCAAGCCUGACUUCUCCUGCAACAUCCCUGUGACCAGCGGUGCAACCUGCUGAAUGUGCCACGUUUCCCAAGACUGUCUCAGGACAACCUGUAUCCCACUCCAGGGUUUUCAGGCUGAACAAACAGAUCUCGCCAGAAAUUUUGCCACGUUAGAAAGCACAGGCAAAAAUUCUCCCAAUUAUUAACAGCUUACACCAGGUUAGGACUCUUGUGCCUCAUCGUGAAGGUGGAUGAAACAGCCUCUCUCCCCAGAUGUUUUCUCCAAAGCUCCAGUUUGCAGGUCAGAGGUUACAGAGUAGGUGGUGGCUGCUGCCUUCCUGAGCUGCCUGUUCUUUGGAAAUCAUCCUGGUAACUACGUUAUAAAGAAAGUCCUCCAGAAUUGGAACAUUGUUCCGUCCUAUCUAAUAUUUUUGUGGCUUGUGAAGAAAGCCUUGACAGCUCGCAGAUGUAGAUGCUGGGAGAAGGGUAACUCACAAAGAGGAGCUGGAGCCCCUUGCGUGGUUUUGUUUGGAGCAGCACAACGUGCCAAGCCUCCAAUUCACCGAGCACUGCUUUUCCGACCCGCCCUGAUUAACCUGCCCCGUACAAGUGGCCGAUGAGGACGGGGAGCGGAGCUGCUCCGGGACGAUGGGGACGGGUGUGCAGCAAGCCAGGGCAGGCAGCCAGCACGGGCGGCUGCUGUUCAGGAUGACAGAAGAGGGAGAGCGAGUGCCACAGCUCGCGUUCAUCAUCGAUUGGUGACCUCCAAGGGAGGGCGAGGACAGAGCCAGCUGAGCUCUGCGCUUAGGUUAGCGAGGCUCCAAGUAAGACUCGAGUGAAAUUCAGUGUUGACAGAGGCUAACUAAUGGGUCUUCAGAAGAUUAAUUCGCAACGCUUAUAUUUUAUUGAGCUUCCCAAUUAGCUGUGACGGCCCAAGGAGCAAACAACCUGGCAGGCUGCUGCAGAGAGCUGGCUCCCCGAGCAGGAGUGACAAGGACGCGGCGAGCAGGGUGCUGGACUGCUGAGAUGUGGAAAAUGAGGCUGACAAAAUGCCAUGCUGCAGGAUUUGUAAUAGAGCGGGUCUGUGAUCCUUAGUCACCAGCUGGGGAGGGAGACAAAUGCACCUAGGAUUUGUUCCUAGCCUGGUGUGGCUGAGAAAGGCAGAAAGCAGAUGAGAUGUUUCUGCUGCCCAUCAGGGCUAGGGGUGCUUGGAAGCAGCCAGACCUGCUGGUGGGGUGCAGCACCAGGCAGCUGAAGCUGAUAUUCCCAUGGCAUCCAUCCUUUCCACAUCCUCCAUGGACACCCUGGCAGCCCAAUCAGAUCCUACGCCUCCCACAGAAGGGGGCAGGAGCAUCCAGUUGGGGACUGAGGAUGGAGGGAGGCAGGGUGGCAGCAGCCCCCUUCAGGCAGCUAUAAGCUGCCAUGGAAAACAGCACCUCUGGCAAACGGGAGGAAGAAAGCUGCUCUUUUGUUGUUGCUGUUGCCUGUUUUGUUCUUCCAUGCUUGACAAAGCUAGGCUUUGUACUCAUUCACUGUAAGUAAACAGAAUUGCACCUGGGACACAUCUGAAUUAGAUUCUCAAUUUUUCCAGUGAAGAAACAACCUUAUGAAUUCCUGACUAUUAGCUAAUGGCUCCUUCCAAGAGAGUAAGAGUAUAACAGUGCUAUUAAAUAAUGUGCUUUCAAUGUUUGCCUUCAAUUGUGAGCGCAGCUCCAUGACCACGCUUCCUGCAGCUCAGCCAGGCACCUGGAGGUAAAGGAGGGAACCCCAGGCUCUGCCUCACCCCAGGUUUCCCUCUACAUUUGGGUGCCUGUGGGCUUCAGCAGAGGCAGGUGAUGUCUCUAGAGGUGCUGAGGGUCUGUGCUUGGAGACUGCCCCGUUUCCCUGCCUUGGAAGAGAUAGGUGAAGAGGUGUCAGGACUGCAAAGCAUCAGGGCAGGCAAUAGAUGUGAAUGCCAUUCUGUACAGAGACAGCAAAUUAGAAAACAAUUAACCUUAUGUAAUUAGGCUCCAAGCAGUACACUUCUCUAGCUCUCUCCUGAUAACUGCUUGGGGACCUCAGCUGCUUGGUUUCUAACACUCAUGACCCAAGGCCCUUCUGUGCAUGGGAGCAGAUUGCUCGUAUGGUGGCUUGUGCCUUAUGACCGCAGGUUGCCGAAACAAUUUCUUCCUAAAACUAGGCUGUGAAGAUGCUUCUGCUCUGCACAUUUAGCUGUCCACUUCAAUCAUUAGUGCACAAAUAACUUCAGGUGCACAGUCCGACAAAUCAGUCUAAACAAAGGAUUAAUCCAUAGUGUUUGGGUUUAUUUUGUUUCUUUUUAUUUUUUAUUCAUUUUUUUUUAUUAUUUUAUUUUAUUAUUUUUUAUUAUUUUAUUUUUCUUCAGUCUCCUGACAUUGUGCACUCACUUUUACAGGAAUGUGAUGGGCCUUUUAAAAUAUGCAUGGCAGAAGUAGAACAAAGCCGUAUGACUUGUGCGCAGGCAAGGCUGAUUCAAAUAAUUCCUGAGCCUUCAGCAUAACUAGAACUGAAAAGCCAUUCAGGUAAGGAGAGUUUUCCUUUUUCCAGUGUGUGGUGUUUGGGUUUGUUUGUUUGUUUGUUUUCCAUCUUCCCUGCUUCCUUGGGGCAUUUGAGUACCAGCGUGGUUUUUCCUAUCCUGAGGACACUUGUGGAUCUGCAGAGGAAGUGAAAACUAAAUUACGAUUUACAGGAGUUUAAAACAGAUUCUAAGGCACGCCAGUGAAAAGAUGAUUUCUGAAAUACCAAUUUUGGUUUUAAUUCAAAAAAAAUCUGGUUGUUAGCUUCCUAUUACACCAUGAAAAUAACUACAACUCCGGAUAAUGCAAAUAAAAUUUGUAUCUGCUUUUUCCUCUUCUUAGUAAUACUCUCCUGUUGAGUAGGCCAUAUGCAUGCACUUGUCAUGUGUCCCCAGUUGUGCUGUACAUUCAUCAUGUAGAACAGCAAAUAGCUUCCAGCACCAUGCCAAGCUGAAAAAAUGACAAUAGACAAUUUUCCACCAGAAAACUCAAAUUUUUGUCAGCAAUAUUUUUGAAAAGAUACUAUUUUAAUAGUCUAACUGAUAUCACUAGGAUGGAAUUGCAAAGGGUGCAGGAUGGUUCAGAAAACCUUGUAUUCAAUUUUUAUUUUUUUUUAAUACCAAAAUGAAUGUCCUAAAAAUGUUUCUUAAAAAUUUGACUCAAAAUUUUGACUGAAAUCGUUCUUGAGAUUUUAAAAUAGGGCAUUUGUUAUGAAGCAGAUGUCUGGUUAAUUGCCAACUACUGACAAGCUCUCUUCCCUAGGUGGCCCAGUUCUGACCUCCUCACACCACAGACCAUGCUGACAAUGAUCACCCUGCUGACAGUGAUCACCCUGCAACAACUCCUGGGUCAAGUCCAUACAAACCCCAUCAGUCUUUGGAUUAGUGAGAUCAGGGCCUCCUUCCAGGUAUGGGCCCAGUCUUGAUUUCUCCAUUUCUGUGGUCUUCCUCCAAGAUUUCCAUUACCUCCCAUGUACUUGUGAGUCUAGCCCUGGCUCUAGUGUUCCUGAGUGAUCUACAUGGUGGAAAAACCUUGAUGUGGCCAAGAGGCCAGGACACCGGCCAUGUGCCAUGAAGAGCAAGGAGGGGAUGCUCCCACAGUUAUUUGCAGCAGAUGAGAAUGCCUUUCUAUUUAUUUUUCUUUUCCAGUGUCCCAAAAUAAAUGUGUCCAUAAGUGAGUAUUUCUCAGUGUAGUGUCACUAGUGUCACUCAAGUGAAGAAGAAAGUGAAGAAGAAUGGGUGGCUCAAACCAGUCUGCAUUGCUCAAAAGAAUAACAAAAAAUGAUUUUUGCAGAUUGCUCUGAUUUUGAUGCUUUUUUAAAAUAUUUUGAUUUGGGAUCAAAGUGGGGAAAAAAAAAAUCAGGUAUUUGUACAGCCCUAAUUCGAGCUCUGUGGAGUGCAGUGUUGGCUCAGUCUACUGGAAAUAGAGACGAUUCACCAAGCCGCAAAUGUCUCAUUGUUGAAAUCUCCCCCCAGCAUGUCUCUGCUGUUGCCCACAGUGUAACGUUACCCCACACCACACAUCCUGUAUAGAUUUGCUGGGUCUCUCUAGGGUUUGUGCCUUCUCAGCAUCUGUGAGACUACUGAGUCUGAACUAGUUGGUCUGCUUUUACAUUUGAAUCUUGAGCAGUACAUGAGAUUGGGGUGCAUGGUACAGUAAAAGUGCAGCUGUGAAAACCUCACCUGGACUUCUAGAUCUGUCUUCCCUUCCACCUCUUUCUGCCUGGCCACAGCUUGCUGCCAGCUCUUAUACACAUCACCUGUGCAUUAAAUCUCACUGUAAGAGAGCCAGCGCUGGGAGGAGGGGUGGGUGUUUUGUACUUGGUGUGACAGUGUACUGCACUUUACUAGGAUCCUGGGUGUUUAUUCAAGCUUUAUAAUGUUUGGGAGACAGAUGGGAUAUAGGCUGCAAUCUAGCUGUUCUAGCUCACGGAGCAGGAUUAAAUGAACCUGGGCUUGAAAGGUGAAUCCAGGACACAAGGAAGGAGUAAGAACCCUGGAGGCAUUUUUUGCUUCCAGGUAUUUGAACAAUAUCCUCUAGAAAGGAGAUGGUUACACCUUAAUCCACUGCUGACAUCUCCUCUGUUGCAGGACCAGAUGAAGCAGUGUGCUUUGCUGCUUUUCCCUGCUUGUUUGACUGACUUUGAAGCUGACAAGAAGACAUGCUCAUGUCUCCUCCUGGCACUUACUAAGAGUGCUUCACCCCCACCCAUCACACUGAGCCUGGGCGUUCCUCCUGCUUCGUUUUAUACCACAAGUAGCCCACAGCCUUAAGCCAAAAUUACAGGGCUUGUGAUUACAGCAGAAAAUUUAGAAUAAGAAAAA
Anas platyrhynchos (mallard) is the source of this 5933-nucleotide non-coding RNA. NCBI's taxonomy places the organism in Eukaryota, Metazoa, Chordata, Aves, Anseriformes, Anatidae. The record is from RefSeq and is a predicted model, not a curated record.